Molecule: long non-coding RNA, 669 nt
Filed under: Ricinus communis (castor bean)
Lineage: Eukaryota; Viridiplantae; Streptophyta; Magnoliopsida; Malpighiales; Euphorbiaceae
Description: long non-coding RNA (RCOM_LNC001907)
Source: RNAcentral
CUUUUUAUACUUUAUUGAAAAAUAGUCAAACUCUAACUCCUCCUCUAGUUUAUCAUUAAUAGUGUGGAGAUGUCCAACGCUAGAAAGUCUCAGCUCUAGUGAGGGACAUUGGCCGAUCAAACGCGCACUUUACUGCCAGAAACUUUCCAAGGCAGGCUCAUCAGGGGCGGAGUUCCUUAGUGGCAGUGGCUUGGCCGGAAACAAUAUUAGUCAGUCAGAAUAAGGGAGGCAAUGGUGCGACGCGAUUCUCAGAGAACUCGAUUUUUCGGCGAGCUAGAGGUAAGACGCUGAGAGUCACUUCGUCUGCAGCGUCGGGGAUGACGAGAGCUCCAAGAUUUGAUGCAAAACGACGGCAGAUGGGUGGAGAUCGGUGGUGGACAGCAGUGAGAGAGAGAAGAGAGUGAAAUGGAGAGAGAUAGAGGUGAGGGGUCAAAAUGAUUAAGGUAAACUGUUGUUUGGUCCCUCUAGACAUAUUCUUCAUUUAUAAAAAAAAUCUUAUUUGAUCAAUAAUUGACAGUUUUGACUCAUUUUGUAGCAUUUAAAAGCAUAUAGUGCGUGCAUGCAUCAACGAGACUAAUUAUGAAAUUAAGAGAAAUUUUAAUUAAUAUAAAAUAAAAUAAUAAUAGUGUUACAAAGUGAUUAUAAUAUAUUAAAUUUAUAAAAAUAAAA